GAUGAACGCUGGCGGCGUGCCUAAUACAUGCAAGUCGAGCGAACAGAUAAGGAGCUUGCUCCUUUGACGUUAGCGGCGGACGGGUGAGUAACACGUGGGUAACCUACCUAUAAGACUGGGAUAACUUCGGGAAACCGGAGCUAAUACCGGAUAACAUUUGGAACCGCAUGGUUCUAAAGUGAAAGAUGGUUUUGCUAUCACUUAUAGAUGGACCCCGGCCGUAUUAGCUAGUUGGUAAGGUAACGGCUUACCAAGGCAACGAUACGUAGCCGACCUGAGAGGGUGAUCGGCCACAUUGGAACGGAGACACGGUCCAGACGACUACGAGAGGCAGCAGUAGGGAAUCUUACGCAAUGGGCGAAAGCCUGACGGAGCAACGCCGCGUGAGUGAUGAAGGGUUUCGGCUCGUAAAACUCUGUUAUUAGGGAAGAACAAAUGUGUAAGUAACUGUGCACGUCUUGACGGUACCUAAUCAGAAAGCCACGGCUAACUACGUG
RNAcentral lists this ribosomal RNA (497 nucleotides) under uncultured bacterium. RNAcentral describes it as "partial 16S ribosomal RNA". It matches the Rfam family "Bacterial small subunit ribosomal RNA", at positions 28 to 507 of the family's 1533-position model. The record is from RNAcentral.